GAUGCCUCCGAAUAACCAGAAUGGUCCAAUGAAACGAUGCCGUUUGGUUCAGACAGAGGCAAAGAACAAUUUGAAUCGGUUUGAGGGUAAGGGAAUUUUUCUUAAGAUCUAUUUCCUUUCCUAGAUGGAUUCAGAUAUUU
Molecule: non-coding RNA, 140 nt
Organism: Ricinus communis (castor bean)
Lineage: Eukaryota; Viridiplantae; Streptophyta; Magnoliopsida; Malpighiales; Euphorbiaceae
Source: Rfam